AUGGAGAUGGUUGCCAUCAGUUCCAUUUUGUUGCACAUCACAAGCCUUGCCACUCAGAUCGUCGCUGUGGCCAGAUCCGACCGGGGGAGCCGCCAUAGAGCCGACACCUCGGCGGCGCAGCAGCAGCCCGACAGAAGGUGGGUGCUCGAGCUCAUCCAGCAGCUCGUCAUCGACCAGGAGGCCUCUACCUCGACUGCAACCGUCCGUGGAUCUCUAUUGCAAGCACCUUCUGCAUGGAUUGGCGAUAUGAGUAUUUGUACAAACCGCCGAGGACCUCAAGUUCACAUGGUUCGUGCUUCUUUACAUACGAACUCUACAUAUGACAACCAGCAGAUCAAUUGUUUCAGGCCUGAUGAGUAUCAAGCAGAUUGGGUUCUCCAAGGAAUGCCAAUACGAACUCACUUUUUGCAACACACAUGCUCAUCCAAUUGGGCAGCCAGCUGGGAGGUAGACAAUACCUUUUUCCUCUUUCACAAAUAA
RNAcentral lists this ribosomal RNA (480 nucleotides) under Triticum aestivum (bread wheat). Its description in RNAcentral is "partial small subunit ribosomal RNA". The record is from RNAcentral. Lineage: Eukaryota; Viridiplantae; Streptophyta; Magnoliopsida; Poales; Poaceae.